RNAcentral lists this ribosomal RNA (492 nucleotides) under uncultured bacterium. RNAcentral's name for it is "partial 16S ribosomal RNA". It matches the Rfam family "Bacterial small subunit ribosomal RNA", at positions 29 to 507 of the family's 1533-position model. The record is from RNAcentral.
AGUGAACGCUGGCGGUAGGCCUAACACAUGCAAGUCGAACGGCAGCACAGUAAGAGCUUGCUCUUACGGGUGGCGAGUGGCGGACGGGUGAGGAAUACAUCGGAAUCUACUUUUUCGUGGGGGAUAACGUAGGGAAACUUACGCUAAUACCGCAUACGACCUACGGGUGAAAGCAGGGGAUCUUCGGACCUUGCGCGAUUGAAUGAGCCGAUGUCGGAUUAGCUAGUUGGCGGGGUAAAGGCCCACCAAGGCGACGAUCCGUAGCUGGUCUGAGAGGAUGAUCAGCCACACGGGAACUGAGACACGGUCCAGACUCCGACGGGAGGCAGCAGUGGGGAAUAUUGGACAAUGGGCGCAAGCCUGAUCCAGCCAUACCGCGUGGGUGAAGAAGGCCUUCGGGUUGUAAAGCCCUUUUGUUGGGAAAGAAAAGCAGCAGGUUAAUACCCCGCUGUUCUGACGGUACCCAAAGAAUAAGCACCGGCUAACUUCGUG